GAGUUUGAUCGUGGCUCAGAUUGAACGCUGGCGGCAUGCCUUACACAUGCAAGUCGAACGGCAGCACGGGAGCUUGCUCCUGGUGGCGAGUGGCGAACGGGUGAGUAAUGCAUCGGAACGUAUCCUGGAGUGGGGGAUAACGUAGCGAAAGUUACGCUAAUACCGCAUAUUCUGUGAGCAGGAAAGCGGGGGACCUUCGGGCCUCGCGCUCUUGGAGCGGCCGAUGUCGGAUUAGCUAGUUGGUGAGGUAAAGGCUCACCAAGGCGACGAUCCGUAGCAGGUCUGAGAGGAUGAUCUGCCACACUGGAACUGAGACACGGUCCAGACUCCUACGGGAGGCGGCAGUGGGGAAUUUUGGACAAUGGGGGCAACCCUGAUCCAGCCAUGCCGCGUGAGUGAAGAAGGCCUCGG
Molecule: ribosomal RNA, 411 nt
Filed under: bacterium enrichment culture clone ALO1_GLFRUDD03FRHJH
Lineage: Bacteria
Description: bacterial SSU rRNA
Rfam family: Bacterial small subunit ribosomal RNA
Source: RNAcentral